Molecule: ribosomal RNA, 256 nt
Filed under: uncultured bacterium
Lineage: Bacteria
Description: partial 16S ribosomal RNA
Rfam family: Bacterial small subunit ribosomal RNA
Source: RNAcentral
UACGUAGGGGGCUAGCGUUGUCCGGAAUCAUUGGGCGUAAAGCGCGUGUAGGCGGUUCGGUAAGUCUGCUGUGAAAGUCGGGGGCUCAACCCUCGAAUGCCGGUGGAUACUGUCGGACUAGAGUGCGGAAGAGGCGAGUGGAAUUCCUGGUGUAGCGGUGAAAUGCGCAGAUAUCAGGAGGAACACCAAUUGCGAAGGCAGCUCGCUGGGACGUUACUGACGCUGGAGAACGGCGAAAGCGUGGGGAGCAAACAGG